GGGCAGGUGCCCGAGUGGCUAAAGGGGCCAGACUGUAAAUCUGGUGGUUCUACCUACGGGGGUUCGAAUCCCUCCCUGCCCACUA
This 85-nucleotide transfer RNA is filed under the name Gemmataceae bacterium. RNAcentral describes it as "tRNA-Tyr". It matches the Rfam family "tRNA". Rfam says of the family: Transfer RNA (tRNA) molecules are approximately 80 nucleotides in length. Their secondary structure includes four short double-helical elements and three loops (D, anti-codon, and T loops). Lineage: Bacteria; Pseudomonadati; Planctomycetota; Planctomycetia; Gemmatales; Gemmataceae. The record is from RNAcentral.